RNAcentral lists this ribosomal RNA (371 nucleotides) under uncultured bacterium. RNAcentral's name for it is "bacterial SSU rRNA". It matches the Rfam family "Bacterial small subunit ribosomal RNA", at positions 527 to 896 of the family's 1533-position model. The record is from RNAcentral.
GUAGGGAGCAAGCGUUGUUCGGAAUUAUUGGGCGUAAAGAGCGCGUAGGCGGUUCGGUAAGUCUGACGUGAAAUCCCGGAGCUUAACUCCGGAACUGCGUUGGAUACUGGAGGACUUGAGUUCGGGAGAGGAAAGUGGAAUUCCUGGUGUAGCGGUGAAAUGCGUAGAGAUCAGGAAGAACACCCGUGGCGAAGGCGGCUUUCUGGACCGAUACUGACGCUGAGGCGCGAAAGCUAGGGGAGCGAACGGGAUUAGAUACCCCGGUAGUCCUAGCCGUAAACGAUGGUCACUAGGUGUUGGGGGUAUCGACCCCCCCAGUGCCGCAGCUAACGCAAUAAGUGACCCGCCUGGGGAGUACGGCCGCAAGGUUG